Molecule: non-coding RNA, 246 nt
Organism: Vicia faba (fava bean)
Lineage: Eukaryota; Viridiplantae; Streptophyta; Magnoliopsida; Fabales; Fabaceae
Source: the annotation of a GenBank genome assembly
AUGAGUGUGAUGAGGAUUGAUCCAUCUAUUGCAAAGUGCACAAGAGAAGAUAGAGAAAAAAGAUCAAACCCUAACACCCAAAAUAGAUCUGAAGUUAUACCUAUUAUGUCUGUGCAAGAACUUGCCAGGAAUGAGAAAUCUCGAGUUUGCAUUAUAGGGAUUUUGCUGAUGAGGAACUCAAGGAUAAGAUUUUCUGCAUUCGUUUUCCAUCCAUUGAAACUACAUAUGAGCUCUUCUGAUUUUUAA